GAGUUGGGAUCUGGCUAGAUUGCCCAGGCUGGUCUCAAACUCCUGGCCUAAAGGGAUUCUCCCACUUUGGCCUCCUAAAUUGCUGGGAUUAUAGGCAUGAGGCACUGCACCCAGCCUUAUCUCCUUUUCUUAUGAAAAAACCAUUUUAUCUUAUUUCUGCCAUGAGAGAGUAGAGCUAAUUUUUUAAAGUAAGUUGCACAUUUUAAUCUAGAGCACAUUUUCCCACACUUAAAACUCUUGUUGGCUGCCAGACUGUAGCUUUUGACUACUCUUUCACUCACCAGGGUUUUGUAUACGUUACAUGUCAGAAAUGUAAUUGCUCACUCACAUAAUGGUCAGUCUUAGCUACUGUUUGUGUCUAGACUUUUUGGCUUACCAUCUGGUAGGCGCUGCAGAAUCACUCUGGAUGACAUUUGGGGGCCACACCCAGACAAUAUGCACUCCAAGAAACUUGAUACUUAAAGUAGGCUUAUAGAUGAGUAAAUAAGAUGUGUGGUUAUUUCCCACAGCUUUGUUUAACUUGUAUCACAGAAGGGGAUUUUUCUGGUGAUUAUACAGUGGCUUGCAGGCCAAGGUGAUGAUGAUGUGAUGAUAUAAUUACUUCUAGGUGCAUCUAAAUUGUCAGCUUUCUGAAUCCUGUGGACACUUAGUGAACACCGUUAAGCAGAGAUAAACACUUGAGCGUGUAUCCUGUUUGCCCUAAUAUUUAUUGUUGUGCAAAUUUGGACUCUCAGACUCUUCUCUCUGCACUCGGUUUCCAGUAGCGCCUGAGAAAGUUGUCUCUUGCUUCCUGUUGAGCCCUUUCCAUAGUUCACAGUUGACCCUUAACAUUUUCUUGUCUGUGAGAGUCAGUGUUCAUUCUUUGGCCGGCUUUUGUCUCCUAAGAGUUGCAAAGAUUGGUCCUUAAUAGAAACAAUUGUGCUAUGCUAUGUAGCAGGCACUUCUGCUCUGCUAUGUCUGUAGGCUCCACUGACCAGCAAACAGACUCAGGAUUGCUCACCCAUGUGGUCCAGGUCUACGUCCCCGUGGACAAUAAUGCUUAGGUGGACCCAAGUUUAGUCAGCAGCAAAGAAAAUUAUUCUGAUCUCUCAGAAAUGGGAAGGCUACUCUUCCUGGUGGCUUGGAAGUGCACCUUUCAUUCCAUCAUUUAAAAAUAUUUGGGCAGGCAUGGUGGCUCACACCUGUAAUCCCAAUAUUUUGAGAGGCCGCAAUGGAAGGAUCACUUGAGGCCAGGAGUUCAAGACUAGUCUGGGCAACACAGCAAGACCUGUCUCUACAAAAAAUUAGCUGAGUGUGGUGGUACACACCUGUAGUCCUAGCUACUCAGGAGGCUGAGGUGGGAGGAUUGCUUGAGCCAGGAGGUCAAGGCUGCAGUGGGCUGUGAUUGUGCCACCAUACUCCAGCCUGGGUGACAGAGCGAGACCUUGUCUUAGAAAAAAAAAGUAAAACUAAUUAAAAAUACGUUAAAAAUAAAUAAAAUAAAAAUAUUUAUUGGGUACCUUUUAUGUGCUCAGUACUAUGCUAGGCACCAGGAUACAAUAGUGAACAAGACGGGCAAGAUUUUUGCCUUUAAGGAGCUUCCAUUCUGUCAGGGCUCAUCAGACACUGAACAAGUAAACAAACACAACAACUGCAGCCUGGUCUGUGGGUGCCACUAGGAAACAGAGACUCCUUGCUUGAGGGGCAGAGUCCUCUUGCUCUAAGAAAAGAAAUUGGUUCUUCCUUUCAUCUACUUUUCCUGCCAGUGUUUAUUUGCUAGCCCAUAUGUUCCUGCACAGGGUCACUCCUAUUGUGAAAUAAAUGCUGAAUAAAUAAAA
This 1817-nucleotide long non-coding RNA is filed under the name Homo sapiens (human). RNAcentral's name for it is "HSALNT0362326". The record is from RNAcentral. Lineage: Eukaryota; Metazoa; Chordata; Mammalia; Primates; Hominidae.